GAAAUGCGAUAAGUAAUGUGAAUUGCAGAUACCGUGAAUCAUCAAAUCUUUGAACGCACAUUGCACUGCCUGGAACUCCGGGCAGUAUACCUGUUUGAGCAUCAGUAGAUCUCUCCGCCUUAUAUUAAACGGUUGGAGGAGCUGAGUGAACACGCAUCUCAGAGGCGUGUCGCUUUAAAUGCACCCAGCGCAAGAGCGACAGUGUUAACUAAUCUGCCCGCCUUGCCCCCACCAAAUCAGAUCUCAAAUCAGGUAUGACCACCCGCUGAACUUAA
Molecule: unclassified non-coding RNA, 275 nt
Filed under: uncultured fungus
Lineage: Eukaryota; Fungi
Description: sequence contains ITS1
Rfam family: 5.8S ribosomal RNA (bases 1-104)
Source: RNAcentral